Molecule: non-coding RNA, 71 nt
Organism: Ictidomys tridecemlineatus (thirteen-lined ground squirrel)
Lineage: Eukaryota; Metazoa; Chordata; Mammalia; Rodentia; Sciuridae
Source: Rfam
GAGGGUGUGGCUUAGUAGAGGAGUACUUGCAUAUUAUGUAUGAAGCCCUGGGUUCAAUCCCCAGCACCUCA